UGGAGUGGGCGGAUGAUCGCUGUCCCAAAGGGAUGGAGGAAAGUCCGGACUCCGCAGGACAGGAUGGUUCGUAACGCGAACCGGAGAAACCCCGGGAAAGUGCCACAGAAAAGAUACCGCCAUGAUCUGUUAUGGUAAGGGUGAAAUGGUAAGGUAAGAGCUUACCGCUUUCAUGGCGACAUGAAAGGCAUGGCAAACCCCAUCCGGAGCAAGACCAAAUAGGGAAACAUUCCACAUCACAGAUGUGGUGAAGGGCGGUCCGUCCAAGUUUUCGGGUAGGUUGCAAGAGGUGUUGGGCGACCGACAUCCCAGAUAAAUGAUCAUCCCCCUGCAAAGGGGACAGAAUCCGGCUUAUAGCCCGCUCCAGUCC
This 370-nucleotide RNase P RNA is filed under the name Pseudomonadota bacterium. RNAcentral describes it as "Proteobacteria bacterium (groundwater metagenome) RNase P RNA component class A". It matches the Rfam family "Bacterial RNase P class A". Rfam says of the family: Ribonuclease P (RNase P) is a ubiquitous endoribonuclease, found in archaea, bacteria and eukarya as well as chloroplasts and mitochondria. Its best characterised activity is the generation of mature 5'-ends of tRNAs by cleaving the 5'-leader elements of precursor-tRNAs. Lineage: Bacteria; Pseudomonadati; Pseudomonadota. The record is from RNAcentral.